Molecule: ribosomal RNA, 253 nt
Filed under: uncultured bacterium
Lineage: Bacteria
Description: partial 16S ribosomal RNA
Rfam family: Bacterial small subunit ribosomal RNA
Source: RNAcentral
UACAGAGGCCUCAAGCGUUAGGCGGAAUCACUGGGCUUAAAGCGUGUGUAGGCGGGUCGGUAAGUGCCUUGUGAAAUCCCCUGGCUCAACCAGGGAACUGCUUGGCAUACUGGCGAUCUUGAGCCACCUAGGGGCAACUGGAACAGACGGUGGAGCGGUGAAAUGCGUAGAUAUCGUCUGGAACGCCAAUGGUGAAGACAGGUUGCUGGGGGUGCGCUGACGCUGAGACACGAAAGCCAGGGGAGCAAACGGG